Long non-coding RNA from Arabidopsis thaliana (thale cress), 496 nucleotides. RefSeq annotates it as other RNA. The record is from RefSeq. NCBI's taxonomy places the organism in Eukaryota, Viridiplantae, Streptophyta, Magnoliopsida, Brassicales, Brassicaceae. The transcript has a single exon.
AAUUUUUAUUUUCCUCUCUCUCAAUCUCUCUCUCCUCAUGUUGUAGUCUUCUCCCUAUUGAUUUACCUUCAUUUUCAUAUAAAUUCCUCUUUCAUCCGACCCUUUCAUCAAAAUAGUCUCUUUAACACAAGCUCUCUUUAUAAUUAGAGAACAUCUCCAAAUAAUAGUAGGUAACAACUUCACCUAAAAUCAUUUGCGUGAUUUCGUCUCGAACGCUUUUUCAUUGUCACCAACACGAAAUCCACUAGAAUCUCAACGCUUCGAUUGCUCCAAUGGUGGCUUAUAGAUAGUAAUUGCACUUUCCUAUUUGGGUAUAUCAAUUCUCGUUUGUUGUUGUUAUUGGGUUCCUUUUUGGGUGUUUCUUCUCCAAUUUAUGUAAGAUGCUCUUAAUUUAUUUCAAUUUAUGUAAGAUGCUCUUAAUUUAUUUCACUUUCCUUUUUUUUUUGGUGAUGCUCUUAAGUAAUUUCAUUUUCCUAUUUGGGUGUUUCUUCUCCAA